This 468-nucleotide ribosomal RNA is filed under the name uncultured bacterium. RNAcentral describes it as "partial 16S ribosomal RNA". It matches the Rfam family "Bacterial small subunit ribosomal RNA", at positions 28 to 507 of the family's 1533-position model. The record is from RNAcentral.
GACGAACGCUGGCGGCGUGCUUAACACAUGCAAGUCGAACGGAAAGGCUCUGCCUUUGUGGGGUGCUCGAGUGGCGAACGGGUGAGUAACACGUGAGUAACCUGCCCUUGACUUUGGGAUAACUUCAGGAAACUGGGGCUAAUACCGGAUAGGAGCUCCUGCUGCAUGGGGGGGGUUGGAAAGUUUCGGCGGUUGGGGAUGGACUCGCGGCUUAUCAGCUUGUUGGUGGGGUAGUGGCUUACCAAGGCUUUGACGGGUAGCCGGCCUGAGAGGGUGACCGGCCACAUUGGGACUGAGAUACGGCCCAGACUCCUACGGGAGGCAGCAGUGGGGAAUAUUGCACAAUGGGCGGAAGCCUGAUGCAGCAACGCCGCGUGCGGGAUGACGGCCUUCGGGUUGUAAACCGCUUUCGCCUGUGACGAAGCGUGAGUGACGGUAAUGGGUGAAGAAGCACCGGCUAACUACGUG